RNAcentral lists this long non-coding RNA (237 nucleotides) under Lathyrus oleraceus (garden pea). RNAcentral describes it as "Pisum sativum (pea) long non-coding RNA (PSAT_LNC025800)". The record is from RNAcentral. Lineage: Eukaryota; Viridiplantae; Streptophyta; Magnoliopsida; Fabales; Fabaceae.
UUUUUAUUUUCUGAUUUCUAUUUUGUUUUAUUACUUUUAAUUCCAUUUUAUUUCUAAAAUUCAUAUCUCUCUCAUUAUUGGUCCAAAAAUUAUGGGACCAAUUGCAUUAUUUCUCUUUUAAUUUCUAAUUUAUAAAAAUGAUUUUUAAUAUUUUUUAUUUUAUCAUUUUCUAUUUUUUAGUAAUUUUCUCUUUUUUGGUUAUUUUUAAUUCAUUUUAAAUAGUUUUUGAGAUCCAAA